ACCCGAGCGGACCACCGCCGCGCGCGCCCCCAGCUCCUCUACCCUGUUCCUACAACUCGCCGCCACUGGAGCGCACCGCCAGAAGCCCACGCGGGCGCAAGGACGCUGGCGGUGAGGCCUCCUCCCGCGCAUCUUCCUUGUCCCCCAGGCCAUCGUUCCCCAUUGGAAACCCUAGCGUCACCACCCCUCCUCCCUCCCCC
RNAcentral lists this long non-coding RNA (200 nucleotides) under Setaria italica (foxtail millet). RNAcentral's name for it is "long non-coding RNA (SITA_LNC000906)". Lineage: Eukaryota; Viridiplantae; Streptophyta; Magnoliopsida; Poales; Poaceae. The record is from RNAcentral.